GCCGGGCGAGGUGGCGCACUCCUGUAAUCCCAGCAGCUGAGGAGGCUGAGGCUGAGACAGGAGGCAGGAGAGUUCAAAGCCAGCCUCAG
This 89-nucleotide small RNA is filed under the name Marmota monax (woodchuck). The record is from RNAcentral. Lineage: Eukaryota; Metazoa; Chordata; Mammalia; Rodentia; Sciuridae.